UUGAUGCAAGGUUAAGCAGUAAAUGUGGAGCCGUAGCGAAAGCGAGUCUGAAUAGGGCGUUUAGUAUUUGGUCGUAGACCCGAAACCAGGUGAUCUACCCUUGGUCAGGUUGAAGUUCAGGUAACACUGAAUGGAGGACCGAACCGACUUACGUUGAAAAGUGAGCGGAUGAACUGAGGGUAGCGGAGAAAUUCCAAUCGAACCUGGAGAUAGCUGGUUCUCUCCGAAAUAGCUUUAGGGCUAGCCUCAAGUGAUGAUUAUUGGAGGUAGAGCACUGUUUGGACGAGGGGCCCCUCUCGGGUUACCGAAUUCAGACAAACUCCGAAUGCCAAUUAAUUUAACUUGGGAGUCAGAACAUGGGUGAUAAGGUCCGUGUUCGAAAGGGAAACAGCCCAGACCACCAGCUAAGGUCCCAAAAUAUAUGUUAAGUGGAAAAGGAUGUGGCGUUGCCCAGACAACUAGGAUGUUGGCUUAGA
This 476-nucleotide ribosomal RNA is filed under the name Staphylococcus aureus. RNAcentral's name for it is "partial 23S ribosomal RNA". It matches the Rfam family "Bacterial large subunit ribosomal RNA", at positions 635 to 1110 of the family's 2925-position model. Lineage: Bacteria; Bacillati; Bacillota; Bacilli; Caryophanales; Staphylococcaceae. The record is from RNAcentral.